UACGAAGGGUGCAAGCGUUACUCGGAAUUACUGGGCGUAAAGCGUGCGUAGGUGGUUUGUUAAGUCUGUUGUGAAAGCCCCGGGCUCAACCUGGGAAUGGCAAUGGAUACUGGCAAGCUAGAGUGCGGUAGAGGGUAGUGGAAUUCCCGGUGUAGCGGUGAAAUGCGUAGAGAUCAUGAGGAAUACCAAAGGCGAAGGCAGUGUCCUGGGGAGUGUCUGACGCUCAGGCGCGAAAGCUAGGGGAGCGAACAGG
Molecule: ribosomal RNA, 253 nt
Filed under: uncultured bacterium
Lineage: Bacteria
Description: partial 16S ribosomal RNA
Rfam family: Bacterial small subunit ribosomal RNA
Source: RNAcentral